GAAUUCGAUUAGAGUUUGAUCCUGGCUCAGAUUGAACGCUGGCGGCAGGCUUAACACAUGCAAGUCGAGCGGUAGCACAGGGGAGCUUGCUCCCUGGGUGACGAGCGGCGGACGGGUGAGUAAUGUCUGGGAAACUGCCUGAUGGAGGGGGAUAACUACUGGAAACGGUAGCUAAUACCGCAUAACGUCGCAAGACCAAAGAGGGGGACCUUCGGGCCUCUUGCCAUCAGAUGUGCCCAGAUGGGAUUAGCUAGUAGGUGGGGUAAUGGCUCACCUAGGCGACGAUCCCUAGCUGGUCUGAGAGGAUGACCAGCCACACUGGAACUGAGACACGGUCCAGACUCCUACGGGAGGCAGCAGUGGGGAAUAUUGCACAAUGGGCGCAAGCCUGAUGCAGCCAUGCCGCGUGUGUGAAGAAGGCCUUCGGGUUGUAAAGCACUUUCAGCGAGGAGGAAGGUGGUGAGCUUAAUACGCUCAUCAAUCGACGUUACUCGCAGAAGAAGCACCGGCUAACUCCGUGCCAGCAGCCGCGGUAAUACGGAGGGUGCAAGCGUUAAUCGGAAUUACUGGGCGUAAAGCGCACGCAGGCGGUUUGUUAAGUCAGAUGUGAAAUCCCCGGGCUCAACCUGGAACUGCAUUUGAAACUGGCAAGCUAGAGUCUCGUAAAGGGGGGUAGAAUUCCAGGUGUAGCGGUGAAAUGCGUAGAGAUCUGGAGGAAUACCGGUGGCGAAGGCGGGCCCCUGGACAAAACUGACGCUCAGGUGCAAAGCGUGGGGAGCAACAAGAAUAGAUACACUGGUAGUCCACCUUUAAAGA
RNAcentral lists this ribosomal RNA (816 nucleotides) under uncultured Serratia sp. RNAcentral's name for it is "bacterial SSU rRNA". It matches the Rfam family "Bacterial small subunit ribosomal RNA", at positions 1 to 808 of the family's 1533-position model. Lineage: Bacteria; Pseudomonadati; Pseudomonadota; Gammaproteobacteria; Enterobacterales; Yersiniaceae. The record is from RNAcentral.